This 309-nucleotide ribosomal RNA is filed under the name Triticum aestivum (bread wheat). RNAcentral's name for it is "partial small subunit ribosomal RNA". The record is from RNAcentral. Lineage: Eukaryota; Viridiplantae; Streptophyta; Magnoliopsida; Poales; Poaceae.
AUGAUGAAUGUUGAAGCAAUGGGCAUUAUUGGAAACAAGUUGCCUCCUGAUGUCAAGAUUUGCCAGAGUGUAUCUUCCAUUGAAACCACUGUUGCAAAACCGGGACUUGCCAGAGCAUGUCUUUCGCUGAAACUAGUAGCUUCAAAGUCCCCUUCUACCACUAAAUUAGGUUUGAUUUUCAUGAGCACAUGCUACCAUUUACAAUAUGAAUUUUCAUUCUGUACCAUGAGAAAAAUAAGUCAUACUGUCCAAGCAUGCAGAGUCGUUGUCGCUGGGCUUAACCUGCUCCAUGCUAUAUGCUAUACUUAA